Manis javanica (Malayan pangolin) is the source of this 597-nucleotide long non-coding RNA. RefSeq lists it as uncharacterized. The record is from RefSeq and is a predicted model, not a curated record. NCBI's taxonomy places the organism in Eukaryota, Metazoa, Chordata, Mammalia, Pholidota, Manidae.
GGCCUCAGCUGCGCUGCUCCAAGGGUGGAAUUGCAGGCAUCUGCCAAUAGGGAACAUUUCAAGGACAGGGAGUGCUCAGAGCAUCUCUCAAGAUUGCAGCUGUCACAGAAGUGCCAACCCGGUGCUCCUCUCCUGCCUUUGGGUGGAAAUGUUACUGGCUUUUGCCAAUGGCACUGAGUAGAAAUGAUGACUCACUUCCAAGACAAGAAGCAUUGGCCUUUAGAAAACAGGUCUCUGGCUACAGGGAGCAUGCUUGGCCAUUGUGCAGAGAAAACGAAGUGCUGGAGACUUCAUGCCCCGUAAGCAGAUCUGAACCAGCGAUGGACGGCAAGUUGGUGAAUAAAUACUCUAGCUCCCCACUCCCUGACUGAGGUAACUCUGAGGCAUGUUCCACACUGUCUCCCAGAGCUUCCAAGCCUCCAGUUGCCCUGAGUGGUAACUAGCUUGAUAUAACAGUUAUCUACUGCUAUGGAGCAAGCCAUCCAAACAUUAUGUGAUGUGAACUAAUAAUCAUUAUUUCUCACAUUCUGUGGGUUGGUGGUUCUUCUGUUGGUCUCACCUAAGCUCCCCUGCACAGCUGCAUUCAGGAAAGGGGAA